GACGAACGCUGGCGGCGUGCUUAACACAUGCAAGUGGUGCGACGAACCAGGGCUUGCCCUGGGGCAAAGCCGCGAACGGGUGAGUAACACGUGAGUAACCUGCCCCGAUGACCGGGACAACCCGAGGAAACUCGGGCUAAUACCGGAUGUGGCGCACAGGUGUAAGCCUGUUCGCUAAAGGAAGCUUCGGCCUCCGCAUU
This 200-nucleotide ribosomal RNA is filed under the name uncultured bacterium. Its description in RNAcentral is "partial 16S ribosomal RNA". It matches the Rfam family "Bacterial small subunit ribosomal RNA", at positions 28 to 221 of the family's 1533-position model. The record is from RNAcentral.